GAUGAACGCUAGCGGCAGGCCUAACACAUGCAAGUCGAGGGGCAGCAUAAAAAUAGCUUGCUAUUUUGGUGGCGACCGGCGCACGGGUGCGUAACGCGUAUGCAACCUACCUUAUACUGGGGGAUAGCCCGGAGAAAUUCGGAUUAAUACCCCAUAGCAUUGUGAUAUCGCAUGGUAUUAUAAUUAAAGGUUACGGUAUAAGAUGGGCAUGCGUCCUAUUAGCUAGAUGGUGAGGUAACGGCUCACCAUG
RNAcentral lists this ribosomal RNA (250 nucleotides) under uncultured bacterium. RNAcentral's name for it is "partial 16S ribosomal RNA". It matches the Rfam family "Bacterial small subunit ribosomal RNA", at positions 28 to 272 of the family's 1533-position model. The record is from RNAcentral.